UACGAAGGGGGCUAGCGUUGUUCGGAAUUACUGGGCGUAAAGGGCGCGUAGGCGGCCAUUCAAGUUAGGUGUGAAAGCCCUGGGCUCAACCUAGGAAUUGCACUUGAUACUGUUUGGCUUGAGUUCGGGAGAGGUGAGUGGAAUUCCCAGUGUAGAGGUGAAAUACGUAGAGAUUGGGAAGAACACCAGUGGCGAAGGCGGCUAUCUGGACGGUUACUGACGCUAAGACGCGAAAGCGUGGGGAGCAACAGG
Molecule: ribosomal RNA, 252 nt
Filed under: uncultured bacterium
Lineage: Bacteria
Description: partial 16S ribosomal RNA
Rfam family: Bacterial small subunit ribosomal RNA
Source: RNAcentral